RNAcentral lists this ribosomal RNA (473 nucleotides) under uncultured bacterium. Its description in RNAcentral is "partial 16S ribosomal RNA". It matches the Rfam family "Bacterial small subunit ribosomal RNA", at positions 28 to 523 of the family's 1533-position model. The record is from RNAcentral.
GACGAACGCUGGCGGCGUGCUUAACACAUGCAAGUCGAACGGUAAGGCCCUUCGGGGUACACGAGUGGCGAACGGGUGAGUAACACGUGGGUGAUCAGCCCUGCACUUCGGGAUAAGCCUGGGAAACUGGGUCUAAUACCGGAUAGGACUCCUGGCUUCAUGGUUGGGGGUGGAAAGCUUUUGCGGUGUGGGAUGGGCCCGCGGCCUAUCAGGUUGUUGGUGGGGUAAUGGCCUACCAAGGCGACGACGGGUAGCCGGCCUGAGAGGAGGGCCAGUCACACUGGAACUGAGACACGGUCCAGACUCCGACGGGAGGCAGCAGUAGGGAAUAUUGCAAAAUGGGCGAAAGCCUAAGGCAGCGACGCCGCGUGAGUUAUGAAGGCCUUCGGGUUGUAAAACUCUGUGAUAUGGGAAGAUGAUGACGGUACCAUAUCAGAAAGGACCGGCUAACUUCGUGCCAGCGGCCGCCGUAA